Molecule: ribosomal RNA, 253 nt
Filed under: uncultured bacterium
Lineage: Bacteria
Description: partial 16S ribosomal RNA
Rfam family: Bacterial small subunit ribosomal RNA
Source: RNAcentral
UACGUAGGGUGCAAGCGUUGUCCGGAAUUAUUGGGCGUAAAGAGCUUGUAGGUGGUUUGUCGCGUUGUUCGUGAAAUCUCACGGCUUAACUGUGAGCGUGCGGGCGAUACGGGCAGACUAGAGUACUGCAGGGGAGACUGGAAUUCCUGGUGUAGCGGUGGAAUGCGCAGAUAUCAGGAGGAACACCGGUGGCGAAGGCGGGUCUCUGGGCAGUAACUGACGCUGAGAGACGAAAGCUAGGGGAGCGAAUGGG